GCCAGAGUGGCUCAACGGUAGAGCACUGCUUUCGUAAAGCAGGGGUUGCGGGUUCGAUUCCCGCCUCUGGCUCCA
This 75-nucleotide transfer RNA is filed under the name Planctomycetota bacterium. Its description in RNAcentral is "tRNA-Thr". It matches the Rfam family "tRNA". From Rfam's summary of the family: Transfer RNA (tRNA) molecules are approximately 80 nucleotides in length. The record is from RNAcentral. Lineage: Bacteria; Pseudomonadati; Planctomycetota.